Molecule: ribosomal RNA, 378 nt
Filed under: uncultured bacterium
Lineage: Bacteria
Description: bacterial SSU rRNA
Rfam family: Bacterial small subunit ribosomal RNA
Source: RNAcentral
UAAUACGGAGGGUGCAAGCGUUAAUCGGAAUUACUGGGCGUAAAGCGCACGCAGGCGGUUUGUUAAGUCAGAUGUGAAAUCCCCGAGCUUAACUUGGGAACUGCAUUUGAAACUGGCAAGCUAGAGUCUUGUAGAGGGGGGUAGAAUUCCAGGUGUAGCGGUGAAAUGCGUAGAGAUCUGGAGGAAUACCGGUGGCGAAGGCGUCCCCCUGGACAAAGACUGACGCUCAGGUGCGAAAGCGUGGGGAGCAAACAGGAUUAGAUACCCUGGUAGUCCACGCUGUAAACGAUGUCGACUUGGAGGUUGUGCCCUUGAGGCGUGGCUUCCGGAGCUAACGCGUUAAGUCGACCGCCUGGGGAGUACGGCCGCAAGGUUAAA